Molecule: long non-coding RNA, 476 nt
Organism: Xenopus laevis (African clawed frog)
Lineage: Eukaryota; Metazoa; Chordata; Amphibia; Anura; Pipidae
Exons: 5
Source: RefSeq, a predicted model, not a curated record
GCAGUACCUGAAAUCACAGACCAAAGCUGCAAAAAGACCCAAAGUCAUGAAAAGACCUGAAGUUGAAGUCCUGAAGCCUCGAAAUGACCCAAAGUAAGGAAAGGAGUCUAAGGAGCAUGGGGAUCUGGUCUUUUUCCAUGCCUAGAAGGUGCCUCGAUUGAAGAUUCUGGAGCCCAAAAGCAGUUUCGUAUCCCUUAUGUUCAAUCCCAGUACCUGAAAUCACAGACCAAAGCUGCAAAAAGACCCAAGUCAUGAAAAGACCUGAAGUUGAAGUCCUGAAGCCUCGAAAUGACCCAAAGUAAGGAAAGGAGUCUAAGGAACAUGGGGAUCUGGUCUUUUUUCCAUGCCUAGCAGUUGCCUCGAUUGAAGAUUCUGGAGCCCAAAAGCAGUUUCGUAUCCCUUAUGUUCAAUCCCAGUACCUGAAAUGACAGACCAUGUGGGGGGUCUUCAAAGCUGCGAAAAGACCCGACGUCACG